GGUCCGUUGGCUCAUUGGUUGAGUUUGGAAAACCGGAGGUUGUGGGUUCGAGUCCCAUGUAGAUCG
Molecule: non-coding RNA, 66 nt
Organism: Aspergillus brasiliensis CBS 101740
Lineage: Eukaryota; Fungi; Ascomycota; Eurotiomycetes; Eurotiales; Aspergillaceae
Source: the annotation of a GenBank genome assembly